CCCUGAUUAGCUGAGUUAGUAGAGCGCUCCACUGGAAAUGGAGGGGUCACGGGUUCGGUGCCCGGACCAGGCA
This is a non-coding RNA of Ixodes scapularis (black-legged tick), 73 nucleotides long. Lineage: Eukaryota; Metazoa; Arthropoda; Arachnida; Ixodida; Ixodidae. The record is from Rfam.